RNAcentral lists this small RNA (3554 nucleotides) under Pan troglodytes (chimpanzee). RNAcentral describes it as "sense intronic". The record is from RNAcentral. Lineage: Eukaryota; Metazoa; Chordata; Mammalia; Primates; Hominidae.
GAAAGUUUUCACUGCAUCUCUUGUGGGAUACGUACAAUGUUUGGCAGAUGAUACUUUUAAAUGACAAUAACAAUAGUUAUUUUUCAGAGAGAGGAAUCAAGAUAGCCCUGCAAAUUCAGUGUAGUUGUUAAUUCUCUGUAUUCUUAUUAACAAGAUUCCUUUAUUCAUUUAUUUAUCAAAUAGUUAUCGAGGGCCUUAUAUACCAUACAUCAAUUUAGGUGUUUAGGAUACAUUAGAGUUAAAAAAAGACAAAAAUCCCUGCCCUCGUCAACUUAAAUUUUAGUGAGGGAAACAAUACAUAAUAAACAUAAUAAAUAGUAAAUGACAUGGUAUGUAGGAAAGUGAUAAGUGUUAUGGGAAAAUCAGAGGGAAAGGGGGUUAGUGAAUGCUGAGGGAAUGUGAGUUGCCAUUGAAAUGGAGUGGUUAGUAUAUGCUUCAUUAAGAAGGUGUCAUAUGAAUAAAGACUUUGAAAGAGAUGUAUGAGUUACCAACUGCUACAUAAAAAACUACCCCAAAACUCAGUGGCUUAAAACAAUUAAACAUUUGUUCACUCGUGAAUCAGUAGAUCUGUUAGUUCUUAGUCUGAGCCAGGCUUGUUUUUUCUCUAUAGGGCUUGCUCACACAGUUAUGGUUAGCUACAGGUUAGCUGGUGGCUGGCUUUGCUAAUCUUGGCUGGGUUCUUUCUUAUGUAUGAAGUCCCAGCUGGGACAACUUGACUCAGCCUCAUAUGAUCUUUAAUAAUCCUUCAGUAAACUAGCCUGGACCUGUUCUCUUGGCACAAUAGAAUCUCCUGAGGUUUGGGCUCAGAACCAGCACAAUGUUACUUCGUUAUAUUCUGUUGCUCACAGAAAGUCACAAGGCAAGUCCAGAUUCAUAGGCUGGGGAAAUAGACUUGAUCUCUUGAUGAAAAAGCUGCAAAGUCACAUUGCAAAAGGCUGUAGAUACUGAGGGGGACAGCCAUUUUUGCUGUCUUCCACAGAAGGCAAGGGAGUAAGCCUUGUGGGUGUAUGGUGCUGGAAGGGAUGGGUGAAGAGUGGAGGAGGUGGCAGAGUAUUCCAGGUAGAGAGAAUACUCUGUGCAGAGGCUCUGUGAGAGUGUACUGGUGUUAGAAGAACAGAGGCUAGAGUGUCUCAAAUGGAGUAAGUGAGGAGAGAGUUGUAGGAGAUGAAACCAGGGAGAAACAAGGACAAAAUCAGGAAGAGGUUUCUUUUUGCCAUAAUUAGGACUUGGGCUUUUGAUCAGAGAAAUGAGGUUUCCCCCUUGUUUUUUGUGAGUUUUAUUCUCCAUAUAUAAGGUCAAGAUUUUAUCUUAAUCUUUCAUUUUCAGCAGUUUGACUGUGUGUCUAGGUAGUUUUUGUUUUUGUUGUUGAUGCUGUUGCCUGGGUUUUUUUGUUUUUUGGUAUUAAUCCUGCUUGGGGUUCUCUGAGCUUCUUGGAUAUGUGGCUUGUUGCCUUUCAUUAUUUUUAGGAAAUCCUCUGCCUUAUUUCUUCAAAUAUUUCUUCUGCCCUCUUUCUUCUUCUUCCACUUGUAUGGUACCUGACAUCUCUUCCUUUUCUGCUCCACCACAGGUAAGCCAGUGCUUGCAUCUCUUCUCUCCUCGGAAAGAUCUGUCUUUCCUUGGAUUUUAAGCUUAUAGUUGCCCUGUAACCCCAGCUCUGAUGGGAUCAAGAAAAGUUAUGAUUUUGUAGUUCAUUAACUUUUUCUUAUUGUUAGGAAAGGAGCAAUAUUCUCCCCACUCUGCUCCAUUAGAGGGUUUUGAGUAGAAGGCAGGACAUAAUCUGAUUUAUAUUUUAACAAGAGCAGUUAGGUUACUGUAUUGAAAGUAGGUAGAAGGCAGGGUUGGCUCUAACGAAUUUGAAUGAGGAGCCUCAGCACUUUUCGGCGCCAUUUUCGAGUGAUGCCUGAUCUCAUCAAUCUAGCGGAAGAGACAGGAUAACCUAUCCAAGAGUAUAGCGCCACUAUGACUCCACCAGAAAAAUUACUUUAAAAAUCGCCAAAAAUUACUUGGAGCAAAGGGCAGUCGGCGGAGCUUCGCCAAGGCUGGCGCAGUCGGUUUUGACCUGUAGCAGAGAACCAAUUCUGGAGAACAGCCUCACUUCUUUGAUUGAAUACUCACAUAAUGCUUUGGAACAACAUGAGAUUAAGGUUUAAUAAUGAUAGAAUGAAGACCAUAAUAAAAGAGACCUCUACUUACCUCAGCAAUUCUUACCUUUCUUACCUAUUUGAUGAAGAUGUCUUUUGAAAGGUGUACUGCAAGGAACAAAAUGUUUGUAAAUUCUGCCUUUACCAAGGUUUCUUUUUCAAUUGAUGCCAAAGAGUUCCAAUAUUGAACAUCUUAAGUCUGUUACUUGGAGUAUGGAUUGAGUUUGGAGCUUACUCAGAGGACUACAGGAGAGUAUCCAGGAGGUGGAUAAUUACUGUACCUUCCUCAUGGAAAAAGUUUUAUUUAAAGUGUUAUUUCUCAUUGAAUACUAUCAAAAAGGAAAAAAAAAUGACCUAAACUUUUGAGAUAGAUUUGGCUCUAGUAAGUAUUUAGAUAUAUCGCUUGCAUAUCUGGGAGAAGAAAUAAGAGACUAUCAUCAAUACAUUCCCAUCUACUAAAAAAUUUUAUUUUACACAUGUCAAGGGAUUACUUAUAACUUCCAUUGUCUUUUUUUUUAAGCCUAUAUGCAAUGAAAAAUAUAUUGGCAAAAUAAAUGUUUAAACCUUUUAUGUUAAAAUUACUGUGAAAGAUGACAAGUUAGCUGCUGUUUUUGUCUACAUUAUACUGAAAUUAAAUGUUUAUAAUUUACAUUUUGGGUUUAUUUAUUUAUAAAUCAUGGAAUUUAUGCAAAAACAUGAGUAGUACAGAUUCUCUUCUAAUUCUGUAGAACUUUGAAUAAUGUGAUAUUUUUCUUAUAGUUGGACCCUUGUGUUUUGAAGAAAUGCCAACUGCUUGAAGAAUUUCCUUGUUAUUUGUAUUAUUUGCUAUAGGGUUAGAUGUUGAGAAAUUCUUCUGACAAAAAAUUUUAAGCCAGUUUUACACUAAAUAUUCCUCAGUCUGAUUAAUUUGUUAUUGGAUGUAUUCUGUAUCUUUCUUUUGUAAUUUGUAACUUUUAUCCACUUAGCACGAAUGGUUCUAUUGAAGAAAAUCUUUAGGAAGUGGUAGAAACUUUAAAUCGCCCCAUAGUUUGCCUGUUUCCACAUUUUAUUAUCUUAUAAUCUUUGGGAGUGCUUACACUUAUGGAGCUAACAUUUUCAGAGAUACAGUUUCUCAUAGUACCACUAAAACUUUUUUCCUCUUUGGACUGAAUACCUAUGAUUAUAACUAUACAGUAGUUUAAGUUUCCUUGUGAUUAGUCAAAAAUACCAUUUUAGUAUGAAGCAAUGAAGUCUAUUAUUUGUUGUCCCAUAAUUGAGAAAGCUUAGAUACACCUUUUAUUAAGAGUUUGUAAAUUCUAGCUUAGUCUACACAGAUUUUUAUAUCAAUUUGUUUGUAUUUUUAUUAAUGUCAUUUCUGGAAUUGUGAAAAUGUUAAUGUUCGACAAGCAACAUUAAAAAUAGAUUUGAAACAUU